Molecule: ribosomal RNA, 217 nt
Filed under: uncultured bacterium
Lineage: Bacteria
Description: partial 16S ribosomal RNA
Rfam family: Bacterial small subunit ribosomal RNA
Source: RNAcentral
ACGCUCGACACCUACGGGAGGCAGCAGUGAGGAAUAUUGGUCAAUGGACGCAAGUCUGAACCAGCCAUGCCGCGUGCAGGAUGACGGCUCUAUGAGUUGUAAACUGCUUUUGUACGAGGGUAAACGCAGAUACGUGUAUCUGUCUGAAAGUNUCGUACGAAUAAGGAUCGGCUAACUCCGUGCCAGCAGCUGCGGUAAUCUGAGCGGCUGGCAAGGC